Molecule: long non-coding RNA, 408 nt
Filed under: Malus domestica (apple)
Lineage: Eukaryota; Viridiplantae; Streptophyta; Magnoliopsida; Rosales; Rosaceae
Description: long non-coding RNA (MDOM_LNC020527)
Source: RNAcentral
UUGCUUUUUGAAUUACGCAGAAUGUGCAGAGAAUCAAAAUAUCAUAAGUCAUUUAACAAAAUGAUAUUUUAGGCAAAAAGGCAUCACCUUAGACCCCUGAUGAAAGAAUUUGAGAGAGAGAGGGCAUAUAUGGUUGCCAAGAAGAGGAAGAGAGCAAUUCCAUUUCCUGUAAAAACGAAGAAACAGAGCAUUAACAAACACACAUGCAUAAAUCUCAAAGGAAAUUGGUAAGAAAUAAGCCCAAUUGAGAAAAUAAUCAGAAAAUCAGAGAGGAAAGUUCUGAAACUCAAUAAAGACUCACUCUUUCUCCCUCACUCUUUCUCUCUGUACCCGUUCCCCUCAACCCCACCCCCAUACUUUUCCCCAUCUUUCUCUCUCUCUGCAACCAACGUCAGUGGACAGAACCCA